Molecule: ribosomal RNA, 210 nt
Filed under: Triticum aestivum (bread wheat)
Lineage: Eukaryota; Viridiplantae; Streptophyta; Magnoliopsida; Poales; Poaceae
Description: partial small subunit ribosomal RNA
Source: RNAcentral
AUGCCGCUGGGAGAGGGGCUCGUCGAGGAUCCCCUCGACUCGACGGAUCCGCGAUGGAGGUGCUUGAGGAGGGGCUUCUUCUCCGGACUCCAUGGAGAUCGUAAAGGCACCCUUGUCAUUGCAAAAAUCAAGAGAAGCUAUGAAGGGGCCUACAUCGUAAUGAAGAGGGGCAGGGUGCAAAAGGAAGCGUGCCUUUUCUUGAUCUCUUAA